GGGAUAUCUUUAGUAAUUGCGAAUGAACAAGGAUAUGCUUAGCUUGACAAAUGGAGCUAUUGGCUUUGAAUUGUAUUGUGGAAAUGUAUUACCAACAGAGGUGCAGGUGCCAGCCUAUUGAAAUAAAGCGUCAAUGAGGGUGAGAAUCCUGUUUGUCAUGUGCAGCCCUUUGUGCACGGUGUAUAUUUGCUGAGUCACACUCCUUGGCAUUGGAAUGCAAAGUGGGUGGUAAGUUUCAUGUAAAGGUAAACAUGCAAUUGAGACUGAUAGCACACAAGUACCAUGAGGGAAAUAUGAAAAGGACUUUGAAAAGAGAAUUAAAUGAGUUUGUAUUUGCUGAACACAAAGUAAACAGACUUGAUUUGCUUGGUGGGAGUGUUGCACUUGCUUGACAAGAGCUUUGGGCUGUGGGUGUAAUGAUUCUUUCUUUGCAUGCCAGUUUCUAUUUGUACAUCUGAUUACCUUUGCACAUGAAUGAUAAGUCUCCUGUGGGGGGUGGAUUGCAUGUGCAUGUAAUGAUUUGUGUUUUGAUAAAUGUGUCUGGUGUAUGUGUGUGUUCCUGUGCUUGGGGAUGCUUCCUUUCCUUGGACUUACAAGCCCUGACACACACAUGCU
This 615-nucleotide ribosomal RNA is filed under the name Alexandrium tamarense. RNAcentral describes it as "LSU rRNA". It matches the Rfam family "Eukaryotic large subunit ribosomal RNA", at positions 71 to 617 of the family's 3401-position model. The record is from RNAcentral. Lineage: Eukaryota; Dinophyceae; Gonyaulacales; Pyrocystaceae.